Molecule: non-coding RNA, 45 nt
Filed under: Schistosoma margrebowiei
Lineage: Eukaryota; Metazoa; Platyhelminthes; Trematoda; Strigeidida; Schistosomatidae
Source: RNAcentral
AUUCAGCUGAUGAGUCUUAAAUAUGACUAAACGCACGUCCUGGAU